Molecule: ribosomal RNA, 433 nt
Filed under: uncultured bacterium
Lineage: Bacteria
Description: partial 16S ribosomal RNA
Rfam family: Bacterial small subunit ribosomal RNA
Source: RNAcentral
AACGAACGCUGGCGGCAUGCCUAACACAUGCAAGUCGAACGAGACCUUCGGGUCUAGUUGCGCACGGGUGCGUAACGCGUGGGAACCUGCCCUUAGGUUCGGAAUAACUCCCCGAAAGGGGUGCUAAUACCGGAUAAUGUCUUCGGACCAAAGAUUUAUCGCCUUUGGAUGGGCCCGCGUUGGAUUAGCUAGUUGGUAGGGUAAAAGCCUACCAAGGCGACGAUCCAUAGCUGGUCUGAGAGGAGGAUCAGCCACACUGGGACUGAGACACGGCCCAGACUCAUACGGGAGGCAGCAGUGGGGAAUAUUGGACAAUGGGCGAAAGCCUGAUCCAGCAAUGCCGCGUGAGUGAUGAAGGCAUUAGGGUUGUAAAGCUCUUUUACCCGGGAUGAUAAUGACAGUACCGGGAGAAUAAGCUCCGGCUAACUCCGUG